UACGAAGGGUGCAAGCGUUGUUCGGAAUUAUUGGGCGUAAAGGGUUCGUAGGCGGGACUGAAAGUCAAGUGUGAAAUCCCCGAGCUUAACUCGGGACGUGCAUUUGAAACUUCAGUUCUUGAGUCAUAGAGAGGGUAAUGGAAUUGUUGGUGUAGGAGUGACAUCCGUAGAGAUCAACAGGAACAUCAGAGGCGAAAGCGGUUACCUGGCUAUGAACUGACGCUGAGGAACGAAAGUGUGGGGAGCAAACAGG
Molecule: ribosomal RNA, 253 nt
Filed under: uncultured bacterium
Lineage: Bacteria
Description: partial 16S ribosomal RNA
Rfam family: Bacterial small subunit ribosomal RNA
Source: RNAcentral